Triticum aestivum (bread wheat) is the source of this 1859-nucleotide long non-coding RNA. RefSeq lists it as uncharacterized. The transcript has 2 exons. Lineage: Eukaryota; Viridiplantae; Streptophyta; Magnoliopsida; Poales; Poaceae. The record is from RefSeq and is a predicted model, not a curated record.
CCCUUCUACGCCGCCUCCUCGUUACUUCCCGUGUCCCUGUCCUUUUCCUCACGCCUCCUCUGCAUUUGUGCGCCGGGCAAGCGCAAGGCCGCCGUUGACCCGGGCCACUCCGGCCAAAAAUAGUACUCCCUCUGUUCCGAAAUAUCCGUCGCUAGUGGUAAAUUUACAAAAAAAUUGGAAGUUUUUGGGACUGAACACAACCGGCAGUCAAGAGAAUCAUCAGUUCUCGUCGUCGCAUCGCCCACUCAACUCGCAUCCACCAUUCCACCCGCACCCCCCGAACUUCUCCGCCGUCCCAGCGCCGGCGCGACGCCGCAUGCCCCGGCAGAGCAAGCGCUGCUGCAAUCGCAUAUGCCCGUCGAGCGCCGCUUCAUCCUACGCAUUCGGCCGCCGCUGCCCCCGUCGCAUCUGCCUGGCUCCAAAAAUGCUCAUUUUUUGGGUCCAAAUUGGCUGAUCUUGCGACGGUGCUAGAUCUGGUAGCGGCGAAGGCAGCCAGCGGGGAGGAGUAGGUCCUCCAUGGCGGGCGGUGGCACGGAAGUGGGCGGUGAGGCGGCUCGGUGACCGGACGGCCCUCCUCCUCGCCGUUCCCUUCAAAAGACCCCUCCCCCUCCCCAAAUCCCCUUAGAGAGUGCACUGACAGAUAGAUGGAGUAAUUUCGCCUUAAUCCGUGGUGCUUCCCUUUCUCUACUUAAUCUGUGGUGGUUCCAAAUCCUCCUAAGAGUAAUUGAUGCCCAACAUUCUCCAUCUCAUUUUCAUUGCUGCUUCUCUGGCCACAGCGUUCUGCGUCUCCUCGAUGAGUAAUCAAUCCAUGUUUAGAGUUAAUUAGGAGUGCAUUAUUUUUUGCUAGUUCCUCAUUGCUACAAUUACUCCUGAUUGUGACCCAGCUUCCAAGUUUCAGUCAUUAUUUCUGGAACUUUUCUAUAAUUCGAGUACUAUGAUGAUGUUUAUCUUCUUAAGAACAAAGGAACAAGUGUGGGAGGAUGAUAUCUCUGCUGCUUGUUGUACUUCAAUAUUCCAGACCGUUGUUUAAGUUCUUGGAGUAAAUUCAGUGUUUAAACAUUUUAUUCUUGGCCACAACAAUAACUAUGUGAGUGUACUGUAAUCCAAGAGAUUGUUCUUCAUUCUUCUUGUAGGUAAUAGUUGUUACUGUUACUGUUAAAGACAUGGCUCUCUUGGUGCUGCAGCUUCUUCCUCGCUGUGCAGGGACGGCGGCGACGAGCUUCUACCUCGGCUACAACCACCUAGGUUCUGCUGGACAAGGAGCUCGGAGAGGCGCUGGAGGAGGUAGAGAAUUUGAUAAAAAAACAGGGUAGCAGCAGCAUUUCAGUUUGGGAAGGUUAGACUGCUGGAGUUGAAGCAGUUGUGGAUUUCGUCAAGGCAAAAAUAGAGCAUUUCCACUUAGGCCUUGUUCGUUUAAUCCUCCUCCCAAGGGGAUUGGAGUGGAUUGGAGAGGAAUUUGGCUUGUAGGGGAUCUAAUCCCCCUCAAUCCCUGCCAAUCCCCCUCACAAACCACCUCAACCGAACAAGGCCUUAGUGAGAUGAAAAGGGUUAGCUUUCAGGCUUUGUUUCAGCAUGCUUUUGAUUCGUCACUCCUGAGCACUAAUUAUUACUUGCCUGCACUACUCCCUCUCCGUGUACAUAUUAGAAAUUCUAAAAAGACUUCAUGCGUGGGUCAAAUGUGUGCUCGGUGCGUUAGGUCCUUCUUGUUUUAAUUUGAACAAGAAACCAACCCUGUACUACUGGUAGUCCUAAGCCCAGGGGUCACACUAAGCACACUUGAUUUUUUGGGUCGAAACUGUAAAUUAGUACGUUGUUGGCCCUGCUGCACAGCAUAGCAGGAGAGCCCGACCCACCUUCAA